Molecule: ribosomal RNA, 814 nt
Filed under: Curtobacterium flaccumfaciens pv. flaccumfaciens
Lineage: Bacteria; Bacillati; Actinomycetota; Actinomycetes; Micrococcales; Microbacteriaceae
Description: bacterial SSU rRNA
Rfam family: Bacterial small subunit ribosomal RNA
Source: RNAcentral
GGGCUUGCAGUGGGUACGGGCAGACUAGAGUGCGGUAGGGGAGAUUGGAAUUCCUGGUGUAGCGGUGGAAUGCGCAGAUAUCAGGAGGAACACCGAUGGCGAAGGCAGAUCUCUGGGCCGUAACUGACGCUGAGGAGCGAAAGCAUGGGGAGCGAACAGGAUUAGAUACCCUGGUAGUCCAUGCCGUAAACGUUGGGCGCUAGAUGUAGGGACCUUUCCACGGUUUCUGUGUCGUAGCUAACGCAUUAAGCGCCCCGCCUGGGGAGUACGGCCGCAAGGCUAAAACUCAAAGGAAUUGACGGGGGCCCGCACAAGCGGCGGAGCAUGCGGAUUAAUUCGAUGCAACGCGAAGAACCUUACCAAGGCUUGACAUACACCGGAAACGGCCAGAGAUGGUCGCCCCCUUGUGGUCGGUGUACAGGUGGUGCAUGGUUGUCGUCAGCUCGUGUCGUGAGAUGUUGGGUUAAGUCCCGCAACGAGCGCAACCCUCGUUCUAUGUUGCCAGCGGGUUAUGCCGGGGACUCAUAGGAGACUGCCGGGGUCAACUCGGAGGAAGGUGGGGAUGACGUCAAAUCAUCAUGCCCCUUAUGUCUUGGGCUUCACGCAUGCUACAAUGGCCGGUACAAAGGGCUGCGAUACCGUAAGGUGGAGCGAAUCCCAAAAAGCCGGUCUCAGUUCGGAUUGAGGUCUGCAACUCGACCUCAUGAAGUCGGAGUCGCUAGUAAUCGCAGAUCAGCAACGCUGCGGUGAAUACGUUCCCGGGCCUUGUACACACCGCCCGUCAAGUCAUGAAAGUCGGUAACACCCGAAGCCG